RNAcentral lists this transfer RNA (68 nucleotides) under Marmota monax (woodchuck). RNAcentral describes it as "tRNA.Ala". The record is from RNAcentral. Lineage: Eukaryota; Metazoa; Chordata; Mammalia; Rodentia; Sciuridae.
GGUUUGUAGCACAGUGGUAGAGCACUUGCCUAGCAUGUGUGAGGCACUGGGUUCAAUCCUCAGCACCA